UUUUUGUAUUGUGACAUUAACAUAUCUUUGCGUUCUAAUCUUUUUGCUUAUCUAAAAGACUAUGUACCAUUAUUUCAACAUCUUGAUGCAUUCAAUAAACUUAAACACAUUCUAAACCCCAUCCCUGAACUUGUUUGUCAUAUUGGAGUCUUCAUUAAACAGUCUUUAGAACUGAGGGAGUCAGACCCGUGUCAGGCAAGGUUAUGAUGGUGUUUUUUACAUACA
RNAcentral lists this long non-coding RNA (225 nucleotides) under Mytilus galloprovincialis (Mediterranean mussel). The record is from RNAcentral. Lineage: Eukaryota; Metazoa; Mollusca; Bivalvia; Mytilida; Mytilidae.